AUGGCGACGAGCCUGCCUCCGCCGCUCCGCUCCCGCCGGACGCUGGAGCUGCCAGACGACGUCAUGGAGGAGAUCUUCCUCCGCCUACCGGCGGACAACCCCGCCAGCCUCGCCCGCGUCGCCGGCGGCUGCAAGAGCUGGCUGGCCAUGGUCUCGGACCCCAACUUCGCCCCCGCCUACCGCAGGCUCCGCGACGCGCCGCCCAUGCUGGGCUUCCUCUACAACUACCGCUACACCGACGAGGGAGCGCCCUACUGGACGUCCCACUUCCGCGCCGCCGCGGCCCUCCCCCCGCGGGUGCGCCGCGACCGCAAGCACUGGCGCGCUCUCGACUCCCGCCACGGCCUCGUCCUCUUCGACACCCCUGAGAGUGACGGCCACCUCGUCGUCUCCGACCUCGUCACCGGCGAGCACUGGAAAAUCGACGGCCACAUCACGUUCCCGGAUGCGUGUAAUGCUACAGUGCUCUGCGCCAGGGACGGAUGUGACCACCGUGAUUGCCAUGGCGGCCCUUUCCUCGUGGCCUGCGUGGACUCCGUCGUGGCAGGGGACCGGAGGAUAACCUGCGCCAUGUUCUACUCAUCAGUUACUGGCAAGUGGAUCGACCCGAUCUUCGUCGAGCAACCCAAUGUCAUCGAUGCCAGGGGGCACAGUGCUGUGCUGGGAAAUAAGGUCUAUGUCCCCUGUGUGAAGGAUGGCAGUGUCGUGGAGUACAACACGCGUGAGAACAAGCUAUCUGUGAUCAAGGCGCCAUUUGAGGUCCAGGACCAGAAGAUUGAGCUCAUGGGGGUGGAGGACGGAAUGCUGCUGUUUGCGUCUGUGGUGAAGCCUAGACUCUACCUAUGGUCAAUGGAGGCUGGUCCCAGAGGAGCUGCGGGACGGGCACAAAGCAGGUUCAUCGAGCUCGGGCCGUUGCUCCCUCGUCCUGUCCUCGUGGACAACACCGAAGUGUCGGCGGUUGGUUUUGCGGAAGGUGUUGGUGUCAUCUUCAUCAAGACAAAAGUUGGGUUGUACACAAUUCAUCUCAAAUCAAAACAAAGCAACCAGGUGCACCGAGGGUACAUCAAUAAGGUCAUGCCCUACAUGAGCUUCUACACUGGAGCAUGGGAGCCUUUGCCAGCAUCUGAUGAAGCUUAA
Molecule: ribosomal RNA, 1137 nt
Filed under: Triticum aestivum (bread wheat)
Lineage: Eukaryota; Viridiplantae; Streptophyta; Magnoliopsida; Poales; Poaceae
Description: partial small subunit ribosomal RNA
Source: RNAcentral